UCGUGCAGCCGGGGUGUUAGCGGUACCUUGUACCCACAAUCCGCUAUAGUGGGGGUGAUGUUACACGGAGGGCUUAUGCUUGUGAAGCUGCCCUCGGAAAGUGGCGUUGAGGCUUGGGUCUUACGCGACGGAACUCUGUGAACCGUGUCAGGUCGGGAACGAAGCAGCACUAAGCAGAGACCUCCGGGUGCCGUAAGGGUGCCUGGGCUGAGUUAACUACCGAGGUAACGUUCGGGAGGUAAGUUCGAAGUGUAACGCACGA
Molecule: non-coding RNA, 262 nt
Organism: Lachnospiraceae bacterium 9_1_43BFAA
Lineage: Bacteria; Bacillati; Bacillota; Clostridia; Lachnospirales; Lachnospiraceae
Rfam family: Bacterial large signal recognition particle RNA
About the family: The signal recognition particle (SRP) is a universally conserved ribonucleoprotein involved in the co-translational targeting of proteins to membranes.
Source: Rfam